This 725-nucleotide ribosomal RNA is filed under the name uncultured bacterium. Its description in RNAcentral is "bacterial SSU rRNA". It matches the Rfam family "Bacterial small subunit ribosomal RNA", at positions 632 to 1357 of the family's 1533-position model. The record is from RNAcentral.
ACUUUUCAGCUAGAGUAUGAUAGAGGAAAGCAGAAUUUCUAGUGUAGAGGUGAAAUUCGUAGAUAUUAGAAAGAAUACCAAUUGCGAAGGCAGCUUUCUGGAUCAUUACUGACACUGAGGAACGAAAGCAUGGGUAGCGAAGAGGAUUAGAUACCCUCGUAGUCCAUGCCGUAAACGAUGUGUGUUAGACGUUGGAAAUUUAUUUUCAGUGUCGCAGGGAAACCGAUAAACACACCGCCUGGGGAGUACGACCGCAAGGUUAAAACUCAAAUGAAUUGACGGGGACCCGCACAAGUAGUGGAGCAUGUGGUUUAAUUCGAAGAUACGCGCAGAACCUUACCAACACUUGACAUGUUCGUCGCGACUCUAAGAGAUUAGAGUUUUCGGUUCGGCCGGACGAAACACAGGUGCUGCAUGGCUGUCGUCAGCUCGUGUCGUGAGAUGUUGGGUUAAGUCCCGCAACGAGCGCAACCCUCACUUUUAGUUGCCAUCAUUAAGUUGGGCACUCUGAAAGAACUGCCAGUGAUAAGCUGGAGGAAGGUGGGGAUGACGUCAAGUCCUCAUGGCCCUUACGUGUUGGGCUACACACGUGCUACAAUGGUAUCUACAACAGGAAGCAAGACUGCGAAGUUAAGCAAAUCCCUAAAAGAUACCUCAGUUCGGAUUGCACUCUGCAACUCGAGUGCAUGAAGCUGGAAUUACUAGUAAUCGUGGGAUCAGCGUGC